RNAcentral lists this long non-coding RNA (1482 nucleotides) under Castor canadensis (American beaver). RNAcentral's name for it is "lncRNA (ENSCCNG00000014396.1)". The record is from RNAcentral. Lineage: Eukaryota; Metazoa; Chordata; Mammalia; Rodentia; Castoridae.
GUGGUGUCACAUAAGAACACGAUGUCAGCCUCCUUGUAAGCCUGGCACCUUCAUGUCCUUUAUGCUGGAGGAGAAAACUCACCCAAUAACUUCUGCCAGCAAUUGCCUCAUUUCAACUCCUAAAGCACUAGUUGUGUGGGCCAUGUCUUUGUCACUUAGGUACAUGUUGUCUUACGCCAUCUCUGACGCCACCAUCCUUCCUAUUUGUCCCUGUAGUGGCUGCAUUUGAAGCACUUGUUUCCUGUGGCCACUGUGGCAUGUCCGAGGCACCCCCUGUAACCUCUUCAUCAGCCUUGCCUUCUCCUGCUGAAGGGCCGAUGGAUUUUCUUGGAAGCCAUGUGUGCUGCAUGAACAAGAGCAAACUGGGAGGAAACGAUAAGGCCUCACGGCCUCACCUGAUUCCUGCAGUCGUUUCGAGUGGUUCUGGGCUAUUAUUUUCAUGUGCCAGGAAUAAAAAGCAUUAGAACGAUGACCCUUCUAGAAGCACAGAUGGAGUAUACUGAGGUUCUGGGACUGGCGGCUCAGCCACAUAAAUUUUGGAGAAAAAAAUAAUUUUCCUAAGCGGAUUCUCGUCAGUAGCCAAGGUUGAAAACCUGCUGAACUAAAGUCAUCACAAGAAAACAAGUGAUUCAGCUAGCUGUGCUUGUCCUUGGCCUCACUCGAUUGAUUUUCCAAUCAACCUUCUUUUACACUGGAUUGAUUUUUCUUUGUGUUCUACCCUGGAGGCUGCUUUGGCAAAAUCCUCAAAGGAGUCACAUUGCUUACCGCACCUCAGAUCAAAGUCAUUUACCAGUACAACUAAAGCAAUAACAAAGCACCCAAUUUUAUAUGGGAGAUUUCAUUAUGCAUGGUGCUUAAGUCUUUGUGAUAAAACUCUUUGGUGUGCUCAGAUAAGAAAACUAUUGCUUUUAUUAUUAUUAUUAUUUGAGCCAACAAGCAAUCUACUUGGUCACUGGCAGUGACAGCAGCCAGUGUGGCGUGGAGGUGAAAUUGAACUCUUAUUCCUGCAGUUUGUCAUGCUUGGUCAUAAGAAUGCACCAGCACUGGGAUGUAACUCAGUGGAAAAACACCUAUCUAGCAUGCAUAAGGCCCUGGGUUUGAGCCCCAGAACUGAAAACCAAACCAAGCCAAACCAAUCAAACAAACCAAAGAUGACGUAGUGGCACAACCCAAAAUUCCAUCCACUUGGGGGUUGGAGAUCCCAAGGAUUGAGGCUUAAUGCCAGCCUGGACAAAAAGACAGUGAAACUCCAUCUCAACAAACCAGCAGAGUGUGGUGGCAUGAGUCUGCAAUCCAGGCUAUGUGGGACAUGUAAGUACAAGGAUUGAAGUCCAAGACAAAAAAUGAGAGACCCUAUCUGAAAAAUAACUAAAACAAAAAGGGCUGGGGACAUGACUCAAGUGGCAGAGCACUUACCUAGCAAGUGCCAGGUCCUGAGUUCAAACCUGAGAACUGAAGAAUAAAAAAAAAAAAAGGAAUGCA